This 562-nucleotide small RNA is filed under the name Pan troglodytes (chimpanzee). Its description in RNAcentral is "retained intron". Lineage: Eukaryota; Metazoa; Chordata; Mammalia; Primates; Hominidae. The record is from RNAcentral.
AGGAGCGGGCGCCGGGGGCCGGCUGGCGCGGGGGCUCCUACCCUGCCCGGCCUGGCGAUGGAGUUUCCGGACCUCGGCGCUCACUGUUCGGAGCCGAGCUGUCAGCGCUUGGAUUUUCUGCCGCUUAAGUGUGAUGCCUGCUCAGGCAUCUUCUGCGCAGACCAUGUGGCCUACGCCCAGCAUCACUGUGGAUCUGCUUACCAAAAGGUGAGGGGGCGAUCCUCAGGGUGAAAGCAGGCAGAUGGAGAAUGCGUGCAGAAUCCCCCAAAUCUGUGUCUCACGUUUCUUCUCCCUUUUGUCUUUCUGAGGCUGUCAGUGCUGGGAAACACUGUUUUUUUGCGUGUUUGUGGUGGGUCAUAUCCAAGUUCUUUCAAGACCAGAGAUUUGUUGGACUGGAGUGGGCCACAGACUGACCCUUGCUCCUUGACUACAGGAUAUCCAGGUACCUGUGUGCCCUCUCUGUAAUGUGCCUGUGCCUGUGGCCAGAGGGGAGCCCCCUGACCGUGCUGUGGGAGAGCACAUUGACAGAGACUGUCGCUCUGAUCCAGCACAGCAAAAACGU